RNAcentral lists this unclassified non-coding RNA (395 nucleotides) under soil metagenome. RNAcentral describes it as "partial contains 5.8S ribosomal RNA, internal transcribed spacer 2, and large subunit ribosomal RNA". The stretch from base 1 to 122 matches the Rfam family "5.8S ribosomal RNA", at positions 35 to 154 of the family's 154-position model. The record is from RNAcentral.
GAUGAAGAACGUAGCGAAAUGCGAUACUUGGUGUGAAUUGCAGAAUCCCGUGAACCAUCGAGUCUUUGAACGCAAGUUGCGCCCGAAGCCAUCAGGUUGAGGGCACGUCUGCCUGGGCGUCACAUAUCGUUGCCCAAUGCCUAUUGCAGUGCAAUAGGAAUUUCUAGGGCGAAUGAUGGCUUCCCGUGAGCGUUGUUGCCUCGCGGUUGGUUGAAAAUCGAGUCCUUGGUAGGGUGUGCCAUGGUAGAUGGUGGUCGAGUUAGAACGAUACCGAUCAUGUGCAUGCUCCCCAAAAUAUGGCCUCUAUGACCCACACGCGUCUUUUGACGCUCAUGACGAGACCUCAGGUCAAGCGGGGCUACCCGCUGAAUUUAAGCAUAUCAAUAAGCGGAGGA